AUACGGAGGGUGCGAGCGUUAAUCGGAAUUACUGGGCGUAAAGCGUGCGUAGGCGGUUUGCUAAGUCAGAUGAGAAAGCCCCGGGCUUAACCUGGGAACUGCAUUUGAUACUGGCAGACUAGAGUAUGAUAGAGGGGGGUAGAAUUCCUGGUGUAGCGGUGAAAUGCGUAGAUAUCAGGAGGAAUACCAGUGGCGAAGGCGGCCCCCUGGAUCAAUACUGACGCUGAGGUACGAAAGCGUGGGGAGCGAACAGGAUUAGAUACCCUAGUAGUCC
RNAcentral lists this ribosomal RNA (274 nucleotides) under uncultured bacterium. Its description in RNAcentral is "partial 16S ribosomal RNA". It matches the Rfam family "Bacterial small subunit ribosomal RNA", at positions 523 to 796 of the family's 1533-position model. The record is from RNAcentral.